AUACGGAGGGGGCUAGCGUUGUUCGGAAUUACUGGGCGUAAAGCGCACGUAGGCGGAUUAAAAAGUUAGAGGUGAAAUCCCAGGGCUUAACCCUGGAACUGCCUUUAAAACUAGUAGUCUAGAGUUCGAGAGAGGUGAGUGGAAUUCCAAGUGUAGAGGUGAAAUUCGUAGAUAUUUGGAGGAACACCAGUGGCGAAGGCGGCUCACUGGCUCGAUACUGACGCUGAGGUGCGAAAGCGUGCGGAGCAAACAGGAUUAGAUACCCGAGUAGUCC
Molecule: ribosomal RNA, 274 nt
Filed under: uncultured bacterium
Lineage: Bacteria
Description: partial 16S ribosomal RNA
Rfam family: Bacterial small subunit ribosomal RNA
Source: RNAcentral